GAUGAACGCUGGCGGCGUGCUUAACACAUGCAAGUCGAACGGUGAAGGCGGAGCUUGCUCUGCUGGAUCAGUGGCGAACGGGUGAGUAACACGUGAGCAAUCUGCCCCUGACUCUGGGAUAAGCGCUGGAAACGGCGUCUAAUACUGGAUACGAGCUGCGAAGGCAUCUUCAGCAGCUGGAAAGAACUUCGGUCAGGGAUGAGCUCGCGGCCUAUCAGCUUGUUGGUGAGGUAACGGCUCACCAAGGCGUCGACGGGUAGCCGGCCUGAGAGGCUGACCGGCCACACUGGGACUGCGACACGGCCCAGACUCCUACGGGAGGCAGCAGUGGGGAAUAUUGCACAAUGGGCGAAAGCCUGAUGCAGCAACGCCGCGUGAGGGACGACGGCCUUCGGGUUGUAAACCUCUUUUAGCAGGGAAGAAGCGAAAGUGACGGUACCUGCAGAAAAAGCGCCGGCUAACUACGUG
RNAcentral lists this ribosomal RNA (468 nucleotides) under uncultured bacterium. Its description in RNAcentral is "partial 16S ribosomal RNA". It matches the Rfam family "Bacterial small subunit ribosomal RNA", at positions 28 to 507 of the family's 1533-position model. The record is from RNAcentral.